This is a non-coding RNA of Telopea speciosissima, 72 nucleotides long. The record is from the annotation of a RefSeq genome assembly. NCBI's taxonomy places the organism in Eukaryota, Viridiplantae, Streptophyta, Magnoliopsida, Proteales, Proteaceae.
UCCUCGGUAGCUCAGUCGUAGAGCAGUUGGCUGUUAACCUACAGGUCGUAGGUUCGAAUCCUACCUGAGGAG